This is a long non-coding RNA of Brassica napus (rape), 1379 nucleotides long. RefSeq lists it as uncharacterized. Lineage: Eukaryota; Viridiplantae; Streptophyta; Magnoliopsida; Brassicales; Brassicaceae. The transcript has 4 exons. The record is from RefSeq and is a predicted model, not a curated record.
CGGUUAUAAAAUUGAUAAAAUAAUGUAUAAAGAUUUAUAAAUAAGUUUUUACAGCUUAUAAAUCAAUUUAAAACAACGCAUAAAUGAUAAUAAAGGUUUUAAAAUAUUUAAUAACUUUUAGUGAUAAAACCCCUCAACUAUUUUUGAAUUGGAUAAAAACUCCAACAAAGUUUUUAACAUUAUAAACCCUUAACUUAAAAACCGUUAACAUAUGUCACCCCUCCGUCACGGUAUUUUAGACGGAGGGUAACAGACGUUAAUGGAAUUAACGUUGACGGAUUAUUUCGUAAGAUUUUUAGUUGAGAGUUUAUUUUACGAUUCAUAUUUAGUUGAAGGGACUAAUUACUAAAAUCCCUUCAAAAUACUCAGAAUGUUCCUUGAACUAAUUGGUAGUUGAAUGCUUAUUGCUAAUAUACUUUUCUAGAAGAACAUUCUACAGUGUAAUCUCAGUGAUUUGAUUUAACUACAUGAUGUGUUAGCUGGCGUCAUGGGAACCAGCCUAAAUACAUACCCCUAAACAAAUGAUAAUUCAAAAUACUCAGAAUGUUUCCUUUAAACUCUUGUGCUUGCCUUUUCAAAUAUUGGUGUAACAUUGUGAUCAAAUGUUAAUUGUUACAACACGUCAAGAAAAUUGAUAAGUUCUAUUUAAAGAAUGAUACACAAAUCAGUAAGACCAUCUUUAUCGCUGAGUUCUUAAUGGAUUUUUAAGUCUAAUAAGGCAUUUAAUUAAAUCAAAACAAAAAGAAAAUUAGAUAACCAUCCUUAAUAGAGAUUUUGGCAACCAAUCAUAAAGGAAGUUCUUAAUACACGUGUCACUGUCAGCAAACUUGUGAAUUAUGGAUUUUUUUUUUCUUUUUUCUUUCUUUAUUUCUUUCUCCUCUUCUCUCGCGUUCUCAGUCGUUCCGAUGACUGCUUUUGUGAAGAGAAGUGUCUCCUCCGUGCAAUCGGCUGCUUCUCACCGUGAAGUCAGCCUCCGGCAAGACUUACAGCCAGUUAGCGGCCGAGACAGGACUCAAACGCCGCACUUCCUGGGAAUCGGCUGAGAGUCUGAAAGCGAUUGCUACUUCCUUGGAGAAGGGUGUCGUGUCUAUUAAUCAACCAAUUGGUCGUAGAGAUGGACUUGUACUUAACGACCCACUGAUGAUGUUGUCCGAACACGAGGUAUUUCUAUUCUCUUUUAAUAUGUAACGGAAAGAGUAAGGGUUUGGUCUUUUGUAGGUAUUCUCCUGCUUGCGGUGAUGCUGGACCAUCUAAAGUUGAAGCCUUUGGACAAUGCAGUUGUCCAUAGUCUCAUUGGUUUCUUUACCGCAAAGCUGGCAGAGUGUAGUCUGUGCGGGGUGCACUUACUGGUUGCUAGGCUCUGCUUAAGAGGAAAACGU